This is a long non-coding RNA of Ochotona princeps (American pika), 845 nucleotides long. RefSeq lists it as uncharacterized. The transcript is spliced from 3 exons. Lineage: Eukaryota; Metazoa; Chordata; Mammalia; Lagomorpha; Ochotonidae. The record is from RefSeq and is a predicted model, not a curated record.
AAGUCAAUGAAAAGAUCACCAGAAAUAAGACCAAACAAGAUAUACACACAUAGAGUAAGGAGAAGGGUAAUCAAUCCAGUAAUUCUAGAAGUUUCCAGGAGCAUUGAUUACAUUGAUAUGCUAUACUGCGCACAGGAUUGGAGAAUAUACAGUCCCUUCCUUAGGGAACUUUCACUCAGUGGGAGAGCAGCUGUAUGAACCAACUGAAAAGCAGCUGAAAGAAGAGUAUUAGCAUAAUCAAGUUAGAAAUCUUUGAAGUAUUGGGGGGAGCUGAGGUUAAGUUUGGCUUGUGGCUGCCUGAGAUAGUGUAGGAGGAAAUGAAUGAGCAAAAGGAGCUGUGAAGAUGUAAUAAAGGUUUAUGCGUGUCAUAAUGUGGGCUACACAGACAAGUAUAUAAGCUUGGAGGGGCGUUGGGUCCCACAAAUCUGAGAGAGACUAAGGCAUGAAAGGUGUCAUUCACCCAUGAACGUCUCUAAAUGCAUUAGUUCCAAUACCUGCAUUGACGGUGGCUUAUCUUUCUUUGAGACAAGCUGUUGCUUCAGAGCUCCCUUGCCAUGAAGAUUCGUUAUCUUGUCCUAGCUCUCCUCUUCUUUGGCUUGCUGUCAGUUGCAGGAACUGAAGAUGCUCAUGAAAUCAGUAGUGUCCCAGAGUGCAAAAAUCAAACAUUGUGUGUUUCUCAAAAUGAAACUGGACGCUGCUCAGACUUGAAGGAGGUUGAAGUAUGUGUCUUGCGUCUUAGGAAGAAACCAAAGGAAAUAACCAGUAUGAAGUAGAAACGUAGGAAGACAGGAUGAUCGACUCCUUUGUCUUAUUAAGGAAAUAAAAUCUUCAUUCUUUUCUCUCUC